This 497-nucleotide ribosomal RNA is filed under the name uncultured bacterium. RNAcentral's name for it is "partial 16S ribosomal RNA". It matches the Rfam family "Bacterial small subunit ribosomal RNA", at positions 28 to 507 of the family's 1533-position model. The record is from RNAcentral.
GAUGAACGCUGGCGGCGUGCCUAAUACAUGCAAGUCGAGCGAACAGAUGAGGAGCUUGCUCCUCUGACGUUAGCGGCGGACGGGUGAGUAACACGUGGAUAACCUACCUAUAUGACUGGGAUAACUUCGGGAAACCGGAGCUAAUACCGGAUAAUAUAUUGAACCGCAUGGUUCAAUAGUGAAAGACGGUUUUGCUGUCACUUAUAGCUGGAUCCGCGCCGCAUUAGCUAGUUGGUAAGGUAACGGCUUACCAAGGCAACGAUGCGUAGCCGACCUGAGAGGGUGAUCGGCCACACUGGAACUGAGACACGGUCCAGACUCCUACGGGAGGCAGCAGUAGGGAAUCUUCCGCAAUGGGCGAAAGCCUGACGGAGCAACGCCGCGUGAGUGAUGAAGGUCUUCGGAUCGUAAAACUCUGUUAUUAGGGAAGAACAAAUGUGUAAGUAACUAUGCACGUCUUGACGGUACCUAAUCAGAAAGCCACGGCUAACUACGUG